This 108-nucleotide ribosomal RNA is filed under the name Microtus ochrogaster (prairie vole). The record is from RNAcentral. Lineage: Eukaryota; Metazoa; Chordata; Mammalia; Rodentia; Cricetidae.
GUCUAUGGCCAUACCACCUUGAACGUGCCCGUUCUUAUCUGAUCUCGGAAGCUAAGCAGGGUCUGUCCUGGUUCAUACUUGGAUGGGAGAAUACUGGGAUUCCAGAUG